RNAcentral lists this ribosomal RNA (301 nucleotides) under uncultured bacterium. Its description in RNAcentral is "partial 16S ribosomal RNA". It matches the Rfam family "Bacterial small subunit ribosomal RNA", at positions 509 to 808 of the family's 1533-position model. The record is from RNAcentral.
CAGCAGCCACGGUAAUACGUAGGUGGCAAGCGUUGUCCGGAAUUAUUGGGCGUAAAGGGCUCGCAGGCGGUUUCUUAAGUCUGAUGUGAAAGCCCCCGGCUCAACCGGGGAGGGUCAUUGGAAACUGGGAAACUUGAGUGCAGAAGAGGAGAGUGGAAUUCCACGUGUAGCGGUGAAAUGCGUAGAGAUGUGGAGGAACACCAAUGGCGAAGGCGACUCUCUGGUCUGUAACUGACGCUGAGGAGCGAAAGCGUGGGGAGCGAACAGGAUUAGAUACCCUGUAGUCCCUGUCUCUUAUACA